RNAcentral lists this ribosomal RNA (460 nucleotides) under uncultured bacterium. RNAcentral's name for it is "partial 16S ribosomal RNA". It matches the Rfam family "Bacterial small subunit ribosomal RNA", at positions 338 to 795 of the family's 1533-position model. The record is from RNAcentral.
CCUACGGGUGGCAGCAGUGAGGAAUAUUGGUCAAUGGGCGCGAGCCUGAACCAGCCAAGUAGCGUGAAUGAUGACUGCUCUACGGGUUGUAAACUUCUUUUAUAAAGGAAUAAAGUGAGGCACGUAUGCCUUUUUGUAUGUCUUUUAUGAAUAAGGAUCGGCUAACUCCGUGCCAGCAGCCGCGGUAAUACGGAGGAUCCGAGCGUUAUCCGGAGUUAUUGGGUUUAAAGGGAGCGUAGAUGGGUUGUUAAGUUAGUUGUGAAAGUUUGCGGCUCAACCGUGAAAUUGCAAUUGAUACUGGCAGACUUGAGUACAGUUGAGGUAAGUGGAAUUCGUGGUGUAGCGGUGAAAUGCUUAGAUAUCACGAAGAACUCCGAUUGCGAAGGCAGCCUACUAAACUGCAACUGACAUUGAUGCUCGAAAGUGUGGGGAUCAAACAGGAUUAGAUACCCUAGUAGUC